RNAcentral lists this transfer RNA (74 nucleotides) under Camelus bactrianus (Bactrian camel). It matches the Rfam family "tRNA". From Rfam's summary of the family: Transfer RNA (tRNA) molecules are approximately 80 nucleotides in length. Their secondary structure includes four short double-helical elements and three loops (D, anti-codon, and T loops). The record is from Rfam by way of RNAcentral. RNAcentral also lists the same sequence under 2 other names. Lineage: Eukaryota; Metazoa; Chordata; Mammalia; Artiodactyla; Camelidae.
AAGGGUAUAGCUCAAUUGGUAGACUGCAUGCUUAGCAUGCAUGAGGUCCUGGGUAUCAAUCCCCAGUACCUCCA